Molecule: non-coding RNA, 72 nt
Organism: Bos taurus (domestic cattle)
Lineage: Eukaryota; Metazoa; Chordata; Mammalia; Artiodactyla; Bovidae
Source: Rfam
UCCCUGGUGGCUCAGAUGGUAAAGCAUCUGUCUACAAUGCAGGAGACCCAGGUUCAAUCCCUGGGUUGGGAA